This 463-nucleotide ribosomal RNA is filed under the name uncultured bacterium. RNAcentral's name for it is "bacterial SSU rRNA". It matches the Rfam family "Bacterial small subunit ribosomal RNA", at positions 331 to 792 of the family's 1533-position model. The record is from RNAcentral.
CCAGACUCCUACGGGAGGCAGCAGUGAGGAAUAUUGGUCAAUGGGCGAGAGCCUGAACCAGCCAAGUCGCGUGAGGGAUGACUGCCCUAUGGGUUGUAAACCUCUUUUGUAUGGGGGGAAUAAGCUUUACGAGUAGAGUGAUGACAGUACCAUACGAAUAAGCAUCGGCUAACUCCGUGCCAGCAGCCGCGGUAAUACGGAGGAUGCGAGCGUUAUCCGGAUUUAUUGGGUUUAAAGGGUGCGCAGGCGGAGGCGAAGGGAGGGGGUAAAUUGGGGGGGCACACCCUCUCCCCGCCGUUGAAACUGCGUUUCUUGAGUGGGCGAGAAGUACGCGGAAUGCGUGGUGUAGCGGUGAAAUGCAUAGAUAUCACGCAGAACUCCGAUUGCGAAGGCAGCAUACCGGCGCCCAACUGACGCUGAAGCACGAAAGCGUGGGUAUCGAACAGGAUUAGAUACCCCUGUA